Molecule: unclassified non-coding RNA, 279 nt
Filed under: Glomeraceae sp.
Lineage: Eukaryota; Fungi; Glomeromycota; Glomeromycetes; Glomerales; Glomeraceae
Description: partial contains 5.8S ribosomal RNA and internal transcribed spacer 2
Rfam family: 5.8S ribosomal RNA (bases 1-71)
Source: RNAcentral
GUGAAUCAUCGAAUUUUUGAACGCAAAUUGCACUCUCUGGCAUUCCGGGGAGUAUGCCUGUUUGAGGGUCAGUUUAAAUAAAAAUCGAGGUGUUGCUGUUUUGUGAUGUAUCGGAAUUGGGUUAUCUUUGACCUUUUAAAAAGUUUAAGUGACCUAAAAUUGAUACCUUGUGCAUCUUAGAAGUACAUAAGAAUAUUUUUUGAUCAGUCAGGAGUUGCCAACGUUUUAUUAGGGAUGAUCAUGAGGGUUGUGGCAUCGUACAUAUAAUAUACACAUAUU